UACGGAGGCAGCAGUGGGGAAUAUUGCACAAUGGGCGCAAGCCUGAUGCAGCCAUGCCGCGUGUAUGAAAAAGGCCUUCGGGUUGUAAAGUACUUUCAGUCGUGAGGAAGGUGUUAAGGUUAAUAACCUUAGCAAUUGACGUUAGCGACAGAAGAAGCACCGGCUAACUCCGUGCCAGCAGCCGCGGUAAUACGGAGGGUGCGAGCGUUAAUCGGAAUUACUGGGCGUAAAGGGCACGCAGGCGGUUAAUUAAGUUGGAUGUGAAAUCCCCGGGCUUAACCUGGGAAUGGCAUUCAAGACUGGUUAGCUAGAGUCUUGUAGAGGGGGUAGAAUUCCAUGUGUAGCGGUGAAAUGCGUAGAGAUGUGGAGGAAUACCGGUGGCGAAGGCGGCCCCUGGACAAAGACUGACGCUCAUGUGCGAAAGCGUGGGGAGCAAACAGGGAUUAGAUACC
This 452-nucleotide ribosomal RNA is filed under the name uncultured bacterium. RNAcentral's name for it is "bacterial SSU rRNA". It matches the Rfam family "Bacterial small subunit ribosomal RNA", at positions 340 to 786 of the family's 1533-position model. The record is from RNAcentral.